This 2903-nucleotide ribosomal RNA is filed under the name Escherichia coli. RNAcentral's name for it is "bacterial LSU rRNA". It matches the Rfam family "Bacterial large subunit ribosomal RNA". Lineage: Bacteria; Pseudomonadati; Pseudomonadota; Gammaproteobacteria; Enterobacterales; Enterobacteriaceae. The record is from RNAcentral.
UUAAGCGACUAAGCGUACACGGUGGAUGCCCUGGCAGUCAGAGGCGAUGAAGGACGUGCUAAUCUGCGAUAAGCGUCGGUAAGGUGAUAUGAACCGUUAUAACCGGCGAUUUCCGAAUGGGGAAACCCAGUGUGAUUCGUCACACUAUCAUUAACUGAAUCCAUAGGUUAAUGAGGCGAACCGGGGGAACUGAAACAUCUAAGUACCCCGAGGAAAAGAAAUCAACCGAGAUUCCCCCAGUAGCGGCGAGCGAACGGGGAGCAGCCCAGAGCCUGAAUCAGUGUGUGUGUUAGUGGAAGCGUCUGGAAAGGCGCGCGAUACAGGGUGACAGCCCCGUACACAAAAAUGCACAUGCUGUGAGCUCGAUGAGUAGGGCGGGACACGUGGUAUCCUGUCUGAAUAUGGGGGGACCAUCCUCCAAGGCUAAAUACUCCUGACUGACCGAUAGUGAACCAGUACCGUGAGGGAAAGGCGAAAAGAACCCCGGCGAGGGGAGUGAAAAAGAACCUGAAACCGUGUACGUACAAGCAGUGGGAGCACGCUUCGGCGUGUGACUGCGUACCUUUUGUAUAAUGGGUCAGCGACUUAUAUUCUGUAGCAAGGUUAACCGAAUAGGGGAGCCGAAGGGAAACCGAGUCUUAACUGGGCGUUAAGUUGCAGGGUAUAGACCCGAAACCCGGUGAUCUAGCCAUGGGCAGGUUGAAGGUUGGGUAACACUAACUGGAGGACCGAACCGACUAAUGUUGAAAAAUUAGCGGAUGACUUGUGGCUGGGGGUGAAAGGCCAAUCAAACCGGGAGAUAGCUGGUUCUCCCCGAAAGCUAUUUAGGUAGCGCCUCGUGAAUUCAUCUCCGGGGGUAGAGCACUGUUUCGGCAAGGGGGUCAUCCCGACUUACCAACCCGAUGCAAACUGCGAAUACCGGAGAAUGUUAUCACGGGAGACACACGGCGGGUGCUAACGUCCGUCGUGAAGAGGGAAACAACCCAGACCGCCAGCUAAGGUCCCAAAGUCAUGGUUAAGUGGGAAACGAUGUGGGAAGGCCCAGACAGCCAGGAUGUUGGCUUAGAAGCAGCCAUCAUUUAAAGAAAGCGUAAUAGCUCACUGGUCGAGUCGGCCUGCGCGGAAGAUGUAACGGGGCUAAACCAUGCACCGAAGCUGCGGCAGCGACACUAUGUGUUGUUGGGUAGGGGAGCGUUCUGUAAGCCUGUGAAGGUGGCCUGUGAGGGUUGCUGGAGGUAUCAGAAGUGCGAAUGCUGACAUAAGUAACGAUAAAGCGGGUGAAAAGCCCGCUCGCCGGAAGACCAAGGGUUCCUGUCCAACGUUAAUCGGGGCAGGGUGAGUCGACCCCUAAGGCGAGGCCGAAAGGCGUAGUCGAUGGGAAACAGGUUAAUAUUCCUGUACUUGGUGUUACUGCGAAGGGGGGACGGAGAAGGCUAUGUUGGCCGGGCGACGGUUGUCCCGGUUUAAGCGUGUAGGCUGGUUUUCCAGGCAAAUCCGGAAAAUCAAGGCUGAGGCGUGAUGACGAGGCACUACGGUGCUGAAGCAACAAAUGCCCUGCUUCCAGGAAAAGCCUCUAAGCAUCAGGUAACAUCAAAUCGUACCCCAAACCGACACAGGUGGUCAGGUAGAGAAUACCAAGGCGCUUGAGAGAACUCGGGUGAAGGAACUAGGCAAAAUGGUGCCGUAACUUCGGGAGAAGGCACGCUGAUACGUAGGUGAAGCGACUUGCUCGUGGAGCUGAAAUCAGUCGAAGAUACCAGCUGGCUGCAACUGUUUAUUAAAAACACAGCACUGUGCAAACACGAAAGUGGACGUAUACGGUGUGACGCCUGCCCGGUGCCGGAAGGUUAAUUGAUGGGGUUAGCGGUAACGCGAAGCUCUUGAUCGAAGCCCCGGUAAACGGCGGCCGUAACUAUAACGGUCCUAAGGUAGCGAAAUUCCUUGUCGGGUAAGUUCCGACCUGCACGAAUGGCGUAAUGAUGGCCAGGCUGUCUCCACCCGAGACUCAGUGAAAUUGAACUCGCUGUGAAGAUGCAGUGUACCCGCGGCAAGACGGAAAGACCCCGUGAACCUUUACUAUAGCUUGACACUGAACAUUGAGCCUUGAUGUGUAGGAUAGGUGGGAGGCUUUGAAGUGUGGACGCCAGUCUGCAUGGAGCCGACCUUGAAAUACCACCCUUUAAUGUUUGAUGUUCUAACGUUGGCCCCUGAUCGGGGUUGCGGACAGUGUCUGGUGGGUAGUUUGACUGGGGCGGUCUCCUCCUAAAGAGUAACGGAGGAGCACGAAGGUUGGCUAAUCCUGGUCGGACAUCAGGAGGUUAGUGCAAUGGCAUAAGCCAGCUUGACUGCGAGCGUGACGGCGCGAGCAGGUGCGAAAGCAGGUCAUAGUGAUCCGGUGGUUCUGAAUGGAAGGGCCAUCGCUCAACGGAUAAAAGGUACUCCGGGGAUAACAGGCUGAUACCGCCCAAGAGUUCAUAUCGACGGCGGUGUUUGGCACCUCGAUGUCGGCUCAUCACAUCCUGGGGCUGAAGUAGGUCCCAAGGGUAUGGCUGUUCGCCAUUUAAAGUGGUACGCGAGCUGGGUUUAGAACGUCGUGAGACAGUUCGGUCCCUAUCUGCCGUGGGCGCUGGAGAACUGAGGGGGGCUGCUCCUAGUACGAGAGGACCGGAGUGGACGCAUCACUGGUGUUCGGGUUGUCAUGCCAAUGGCACUGCCCGGUAGCUAAAUGCGGAAGAGAUAAGUGCUGAAAGCAUCUAAGCACGAAACUUGCCCCGAGAUGAGUUCUCCCUGACUCCUUGAGAGUCCUGAAGGAACGUUGAAGACGACGACGUUGAUAGGCCGGGUGUGUAAGCGCAGCGAUGCGUUGAGCUAACCGGUACUAAUGAACCGUGAGGCUUAACCUU